UAAUACGUAGGGCGCAAGCGUUGUCCGGAAUUAUUGGGCGUAAAGAGCUCGUAGGCGGCUUGUCACGUCGGGUGUGAAAGCCCGGGGCUUAACCCCGGGUCUGCAUUCGAUACGGGCUAGCUAGAGUGUGGUAGGGGAGAUCGGAAUUCCUGGUGUAGCGGUGAAAUGCGCAGAUAUCAGGAGGAACACCGGUGGCGAAGGCGGAUCUCUGGGUCAUUACUGACGCUGAGGAGCGAAAGCGUGGGGAGCGAACAGGAUUAGAUACCCUGGUAGUCCACGCCGUAAACGGUGGGAACUAGGUGUUGGCGACAUUCCACGUCGUCGGUGCCGCAGCUAACGCAUUAAGUUCCCCGCCUGGGGAGUACGGCCGCAAGGC
Molecule: ribosomal RNA, 376 nt
Filed under: uncultured bacterium
Lineage: Bacteria
Description: bacterial SSU rRNA
Rfam family: Bacterial small subunit ribosomal RNA
Source: RNAcentral